CAGAGAGACACACACACAUGCACACACACACAGAGAGAGACACACAAACACACACACACACACACACACCUACCGCUGCUGGUAGUUACCGUGGCUGGUAGUUGGGUGUGAGAGAGAUUUCAUGUCUCUCAGCUACAUUGCUAGUUUUAAUAAUGGAAGACGUCUGUAUUAUAGAUCGUCUAUUUUACAGGUUUUAGUUUGUUACAGUGAAGCGAACGAGACUUUUAAAUGCUCCGAACUUUAGAAAUAUUGAACAUAGAAGUCCUCCGAGGUGAAACGGGUUCCUCAGCUUUAAAGAAUAGUUUCCUAAAUCUCACAAACUGCUCUGACAUCACUCUGGUCUGACAUCACUCUGGUCUGACAUCACUCUGGUCUGACAUCACUCUGGUCUGACAUCACUCUGGUCUGACAUCACUCUGGUCUGACAUCACUCUGGUCUGACAUCACUCUGGUCUGACAUCACUCUGGUCUGCACACACCCAGUCACUGAGGAGUCCUCCACCACGUUCAGAUGUCACAACAUAUCACUGAUGGGGUACAAAGCUGUCACCUGUGUGUGUGUGUGUGUGUGUGUGUGUGUGUGUGUGUGUGUGUGUGUGUGUGUGUGUGUGUGUGCGCGCGUGUGCGUGUGUGUGCAUGUUACAUUUCAUUAUCUCACUUUAUUUCUUUCCAUCCGAGCACUCUAUGAGAUUCUAUGAGUUAUUAUUUCUGUACAGUCGAGUUAUUGUUUUGAACUUUGAGGUGUUUUGGGGUUCUUCUACUGAUUUGGGGUCAGUUUGUGUUAACUUAAAGAACAAGGUGAACGUUUCACAGAAAGACUUAAUGAAAUAUUGAAUGUGUUCCAUCUUUAAUCAAUAAAGUUUUUAAUAAAGAACGACA
Molecule: long non-coding RNA, 879 nt
Organism: Sander lucioperca (pikeperch)
Lineage: Eukaryota; Metazoa; Chordata; Actinopteri; Perciformes; Percidae
Exons: 2
Source: RefSeq, a predicted model, not a curated record